GAUGAACGCUGGCGGCGUGCUUAACACAUGCAAGUCGAACGGAAAGGCCCAAGCUUGCUUGGGUACUCGAGUGGCGAACGGGUGAGUAACACGUGGGUGAUCUGCCCUGCACUUCGGGAUAAGCCUGGGAAACUGGGUCUAAUACCGGAUAGGACGAUGGUUUGGAUGCCAUUGUGGAAAGUUUUUUCGGUGUGGGAUGAGCUCGCGGCCUAUCAGCUUGUUGGUGGGGUAAUGGCCUACCAAGGCGUCGUCGGGUAGCCGGCCUGCGAGGGUGUACGGCGACAUUGGGACUGAGAUACGGCCCAGACUCCUACGGGAGGCAGCAGUGGGGAAUAUUGCACAAUGGGCGCAAGCCUGAUGCAGCGACGCCGCGUGGGGGAUGACGGCCUUCGGGUUGUAAACUCCUUUCGCUAGGGACGAAGCGUUUUUGUGACGGUACCUGGAGAAGAAGCACCGGCUAACUACGUG
RNAcentral lists this ribosomal RNA (468 nucleotides) under uncultured bacterium. RNAcentral describes it as "partial 16S ribosomal RNA". It matches the Rfam family "Bacterial small subunit ribosomal RNA", at positions 28 to 507 of the family's 1533-position model. The record is from RNAcentral.